CAAAAAAAGACCCUUUGCUUAUCACUGUGUGGGAAACACCUGCAAAGCUUAAAGAUCCAUAUAGCUAUGUGAUGGGAAGAGGGACUACUGGCUGGCAGAACCCCCCGCCCCAACGUCCAGUUGCCAGACAUACAAAUAGUGGCCCAGCAGGCCCCUGAUUCCCAUGCAGCCUCCCAGUGUGGUAUAAGGACGUGCAGGCUGUUUGGCAGCAAUGGCUAAGGAAACCCAAGCAGAAACUCCUGGCGGGAGAGCCUCUGAGGACAGGGCUUGGCUGCAUCACUUUUGUGCACAGGAGGAAAAUUGCUGGUAAUUGGUUGGUUUAUAUAUAUUAUUUUUAUAAUAGAAUGUUAAUCCUCUGAAAAACAUCAAAAAGUUAGUCUCCUAGAGAGAACUCUAUGCUUUCCAAACCUACUUCAAAGAAGGGUUCUAAACACCAGUAGGGUCCUUUAUCCUUCACUACUCCAAUGGUCUAAUGGGAUAGAUGAAUCAAUGUUUAUAUUUUUAAACCUGUAAAUAUUUUUAUUUUGAAUAUUUUGUAUAUUUGUUGAUAUAAUUCCAUUUUGUGCAUAUGUACUAUUGUGCAUGUUGCUGGUUUUGAUAGCCACUCUUUUAACAAAUGUAAACAGGUUGGACUAACCGGCUCUCUGCUUUCACUCAUCUUACACUGAAAAUACAAUGUUGCCAUUUUAACUGCUGUGUUUAAAUUCCGUCAAUAAAUUCUGUUGCUCCUUUGCAGUUAAAGCAAA
Molecule: long non-coding RNA, 746 nt
Organism: Peromyscus eremicus (cactus mouse)
Lineage: Eukaryota; Metazoa; Chordata; Mammalia; Rodentia; Cricetidae
Exons: 2
Source: RefSeq, a predicted model, not a curated record